Molecule: ribosomal RNA, 497 nt
Filed under: uncultured bacterium
Lineage: Bacteria
Description: partial 16S ribosomal RNA
Rfam family: Bacterial small subunit ribosomal RNA
Source: RNAcentral
GAUGAACGCUGGCGGCGUGCCUAAUACAUGCAAGUCGAGCGAACAGACGAGGAGCUUGCUCCUCUGACGUUAGCGGCGGACGGGUGAGUAACACGUGGAUAACCUACCUAUAAGACUGGGAUAACUUCGGGAAACCGGAGCUAAUACCGGAUAAUAUAUUGAACCGCAUGGUUCAAUAGUGAAAGACGGUUUUGCUGUCACUUAUAGAUGGAUCCGCGCCGCAUUAGCUAGUUGGUAAGGUAACGGCUUACCAAGGCGACGAUGCGUAGCCGACCUGAGAGGGUGAUCGGCAACACUGGAACUGAGACACGGUCCAGACUCCUACGGGAGGCAGCAGUAGGGAAUCUUCCGCAAUGGGCGAAAGCCUGACGGAGCAACGCCGCGUGAGUGAUGAAGGUCUUCGGAUCGUAAAACCCUGUUAUUAGGGAAGAACAAAUGUGUAAGUAACUAUGCACGUCUUGACGGUACCUAAUCAGAAAGCCACGGCUAACUACGUG